CUGUUGCCUCGGCGGGAUCUCUGCCCCGGGUGCGUCGCAGCCCCGGACCAAGGCGCCCGCCGGAGGACCAACCAAAACUCUUUUGUAUACCCCCUCGCGGGUUUUUAUAUCUGAGCCAUCUCGGCGCCUCUCGUAGGCGUUUCGAAAAUGAAUCAAAACUUUCAACAACGGAUCUCUUGGUUCUGGCAUCGAUGAAGAACGCAGCGAAAUGCGAUAAGUAAUGUGAAUUGCAGAAUUCAGUGAAUCAUCGAAUCUUUGAACGCACAUUGCGCCCGCCAGUAUUCUGGCGGGCAUGCCUGUCCGAGCGUCAUUUCAACCCUCGAACCCCUCCGGGGGGUCGGCGUUGGGGAUCGGCCCUUUACGGGGCCGGCCCCGAAAUACAGUGGCGGUCUCGCCGCAGCCUCUCCUGCGCAGUAGUUUGCACACUCGCAUCGGGAGCGCGGCGCGUCCAUUGCCGUAAAACACCCAACUUUCUGAAAUGUUGACCUCGGAUCAGGUAGGAAUACCCGCUGAACUUAAGCAUAUCAAUA
Molecule: ribosomal RNA, 530 nt
Filed under: Trichoderma spirale
Lineage: Eukaryota; Fungi; Ascomycota; Sordariomycetes; Hypocreales; Hypocreaceae
Description: eukaryotic LSU rRNA
Rfam family: 5.8S ribosomal RNA (bases 157-310)
Source: RNAcentral